RNAcentral lists this ribosomal RNA (253 nucleotides) under uncultured bacterium. Its description in RNAcentral is "partial 16S ribosomal RNA". It matches the Rfam family "Bacterial small subunit ribosomal RNA", at positions 524 to 776 of the family's 1533-position model. The record is from RNAcentral.
UACAGAGGGUGCAAGCGUUAAUCGGAAUUACUGGGCGUAAAGCGCGCGUAGGUGGUUUGUUAAGUUGGAUGUGAAAGCCCCGGGCUCAACCUGGGAACUGCAUUCAAAACUGACAAGCUAGAGUAUGGUAGAGGGUGGUGGAAUUUCCUGUGUAGCGGUGAAAUGCGUAGAUAUCGGGAGGAACACCAGUGGCGAAGGCGACUACCUGGCCUGUUCUUGACGCUGAGGCGCGAAAGCUAGGGGAGCAAACGGG